AUACAUGCAGUCGAGCGGACAGAUAAGGAGCUUGCUCCUUUGACGUUAGCGGCGGACGGGUGAGUAACACGUGGGCAACCUGCCCCUUAGACUGGGAUAACUCCGGGAAACCGGAGCUAAUACCGGAUAAUCCCUUUCUCCACCUGGAGAGAGGGUGAAAGAUGGCUUCGGCUAUCACUAAGGGAUGGGCCCGCGGCGCAUUAGCUAGUUGGUAAGGUAACGGCUUACCAAGGCAACGAUGCGUAGCCGACCUGAGAGGGUGAUCGGCCACACUGGGACUGAGACACGGCCCAGACUCCUACGGGAGGCAGCAGUAGGGAAUCUUCCGCAAUGGACGAAAGUCUGACGGAGCAACGCCGCGUGAGUGAGGAAGGCCUUCGGGUCGUAAAGCUCUGUUGUGAGGGAAGAAGCGGUACCGUUCGAAUAGGGCGGUACCUUGACGGUACCUCACCAGAAAGCCACGGCUAACUACGUGCCAGCAGCCGCGGUAAUACGUAGGUGGCAAGCGUUGUCCGGAAUUAUUGGGCGUAAAGCGCGCGCAGGCGGCUUCUUAAGUCUGAUGUGAAAUCUCGGGGCUCAACCCCGAGCGGCCAUUGGAAACUGGGGAGCUUGAGUGCAGAAGAGGAGAGUGGAAUUCCACGUGUAGCGGUGAAAUGCAUAGAGAUGUGGAGGAACACCAGUGGCGAAGGGCGACUCUCUGGUCUGUAACUGACGCUGAGGCGCGAACGCGUGGGGA
Molecule: ribosomal RNA, 736 nt
Filed under: Shouchella clausii
Lineage: Bacteria; Bacillati; Bacillota; Bacilli; Caryophanales; Bacillaceae
Description: bacterial SSU rRNA
Rfam family: Bacterial small subunit ribosomal RNA
Source: RNAcentral